RNAcentral lists this long non-coding RNA (793 nucleotides) under Ananas comosus (pineapple). RNAcentral describes it as "long non-coding RNA (ACOM_LNC015194)". Lineage: Eukaryota; Viridiplantae; Streptophyta; Magnoliopsida; Poales; Bromeliaceae. The record is from RNAcentral.
CAUACAUAUAUAUAUAUAUAUAGUUGAGCUAGAAUACUAUCGAUAGCAAACGGGCUCCGUUGCCACCCAUUUGUUUUCGAUAAUGAAACCUCCAAAUCGACAAUCGGUACCGUUGAACAUGAUCUAUAUCACUUGAAGUAUCUAGAAACUAAAUUUCAAAUCUUUUCGAAAUCAUUGACCUAAUGAUCAAAGGGUUUCAAAAUUUAUAAUUUAAUGGUCGAUAUGAGACGUUUUCUCGUUUAACUGUGUAAAGCUAUCCAAAUCAAUUAAAUUUUUGUUAGAAAAUUCUUUAAACUACUUAGAACAAGAUCUAUACUUUUGAUCUUCAUUACAAAAUUUCUAUCAUCAAUUUUUAAAGGAUAUUCAUUUUCAGCCGUUCAUUUUUACGCCCAUUUGAUGAACAAGAGAACAAUAUCGAAAAAGCAUGAAAUUUAAUUUCUAAAUACUUUAAGUGGUAUAGAUCAUUUUCAACGUUACCGAUCGUUAAUUUAGAGGCUCCAUCAUCGAAAAAAAAUGGGUGACAACGAAGCCCGUUUGCUAUCGAUAGUAUUUCAGCUCAACUCUAUAUAUAUAUAUCUCCUUGAAUUUUUAAAUUAUUGCGUUCAGCGAUGUCAUGGGAUUUGACUUUUCAAUUUAUGAUUAGUUGUUGAAUAAGAGGACUAGUUAAUUAAUUAAGAUGGGAUUUUUUUUAAUAAAAAAUUAAAGGGGGAUUUGAGGUUAUGAAAUUCCUGAUGGGAUUGGAGUAGUUUAUAGUGGAAACUGAAUACUUUAUAAUGGAAAAGGAAUAGGUCGG